This 253-nucleotide ribosomal RNA is filed under the name uncultured bacterium. Its description in RNAcentral is "partial 16S ribosomal RNA". It matches the Rfam family "Bacterial small subunit ribosomal RNA", at positions 524 to 776 of the family's 1533-position model. The record is from RNAcentral.
UACGAAGGGUGCAAGCGUUGUUCGGAAUCAUUGGGCGUAAAGCGCGCGCAGGCGGAAUGGCAAGUCAGAUGUGAAAUCUCGGGGCUUAACUCCGAAAGUGCGUCUGAAACUAUCGUUCUAGAGUAGUGGAGAGGGCAGGGGAAUUUCACGUGUAGGGGUAAAAUCCGUAGAGAUGUGAAGGAACACCAGAGGCGAAAGCGCCUGCCUGGACACUUACUGACGCUGAGGCGCGAAAGCGUGGGGAUCAAACAGG